GCAAGUCGAGCGGCAGCACUUCGGGUGGCAAGCGGCGAACGGGUGAGUAGUAGUUAGCAACUUGCCCUCCAGACGGGAAUAGCCACCGUAAUGGUGAUUAAUGCCCGAUAUGAGGAAACUUAAAAGGUGCGUUUGUACCACUGGAGGAUAGGGCUAACCCCUAUUAGCUUGUUGGUAGGGUAAUAGCUCACCAAGGCGACGAUCCGUAGCUGGUCUGAGAGGAUGAUC
This 228-nucleotide ribosomal RNA is filed under the name uncultured bacterium. Its description in RNAcentral is "partial 16S ribosomal RNA". It matches the Rfam family "Bacterial small subunit ribosomal RNA", at positions 57 to 305 of the family's 1533-position model. The record is from RNAcentral.